UUAAGUGACUAAGCGUACAAGGUGGAUGCCUUGGCAAUCAGAGGCGAAGAAGGACGUGCUAAUCUGCGAAAAGCUUGGAUGAGUCGAUAAGAGGCGUUUAAUCCAAGAUAUCCGAAUGGGGAAACCCAGUAGAUGAAGAAUCUACUAUCAACAAGUGAAUUCAUAGCUUGUUGAGGCAAACCGGGAGAACUGAAACAUCUAAGUACCCCGAGGAAAAGAAAUCAACCGAGAUUUCGUCAGUAGCGGCGAGCGAAAGCGAAAGAGCCAGUAAGUGAUAGCAAUAUAGUGAGGAGAAUGUGUUGGGAAGCACAAUCAAAGAGGGUGAUAAUCCCGUAUCUAAAAACCAUAUUGUGGUACUAAGCUAACGAGAAGUAGGGCGGGACACGUGAUAUCCUGUUUGAAGAAGGGGGGCCCAUCCUCCAAGGCUAAAUACUCCUGAUUGACCGAUAGUGAACCAGUACUGUGAAGGAAAGGCGAAAAGAACCCCGGUGAGGGGAGUGAAAUAGAACCUGAAACCUUGUACGUACAAGCAGUGGGAGCGAGGGCAACCUUGUGACUGCGUACCUUUUGUAUAAUGGGUCAGCGACUUAUAUUUUGUAGCGAGGUUAACCGAAUAGGGGAGCCGAAGGGAAACCGAGUCUUAACUGGGCGAAUAGUUGCAAGGUAUAGACCCGAAACCCGGUGAUCUAGCCAUGGGCAGGUUGAAGGUUGGGUAACACUAACUGGAGGACCGAACCGACUAAUGUUGAAAAAUUAGCGGAUGACUUGUGGCUGGGGGUGAAAGGCCAAUCAAACCGGGAGAUAGCUGGUUCUCCCCGAAAUCUAUUUAGGUAGAGCCUUGAGGUGACACCUUUGGGGGUAGAGCACUGUUUCGGCUAGGGGGCCAUCCCGGCUUACCAACCCGAUGCAAACUACGAAUACCAAAGAGUGAUACUCAGGAGACACACGGCGGGUGCUAACGUCCGUCGUGGAGAGGGAAACAACCCAGACCGCCAGCUAAGGUCCCCAAGUCUAUAUUAAGUGGGAAACGAAGUGGGAAGGCUUAGACAGCUAGGAUGUUGGCUUAGAAGCAGCCAUCAUUUAAAGAAAGCGUAAUAGCUCACUAGUCGAGUCGGCCUGCGCGGAAGAUGUAACGGGGCUGAAAUAUAGCACCGAAGCUGCGGCAUCAGAAUUUAUUCUGUUGGGUAGGGGAGCGUUGUGUAAGCGGAAGAAGGUUCAUCGAGAGGUGGGCUGGACGUAUCACAAGUGCGAAUGCUGACAUAAGUAACGAUAAAACGGGUGAAAAACCCGUUCGCCGGAAGACCAAGGGUUCCUGUCCAACGUUAAUCGGGGCAGGGUGAGUCGGCUCCUAAGGCGAGGCUGAAAAGCGUAGUCGAUGGGAAACAGGUUAAUAUUCCUGUACUUGGUAAAGCUGCGAUGUGGGGACGGAGUAGGUUAGGUUAUCGCACUGUUGGAUAUGUGCGUUUAAGUUGGUAGGUGGGAAGUUUAGGCAAAUCCGGACUUCCUUAACACAGAGAGAUGAUGACGAGGCUCUACGGAGCUGAAGUAACUGAUACCACACUUCCAGGAAAAGCCACUAAGCGAAAGGCUUUACUAAACCGUACUGAAAACCGACACAGGUGGUCAGGUAGAGAAUACUCAGGCGCUUGAGAGAACUCGGGUGAAGGAACUAGGCAAAAUAGCACCGUAACUUCGGGAGAAGGUGCGCCGGCGUAGAUUGUAAGGGCUAGCCCCUGAAGGUUGAACCGGUCGAAGAUACCAGCUGGCUGCAACUGUUUAUUAAAAACACAGCACUCUGCAAACACGAAAGUGGACGUAUAGGGUGUGAUGCCUGCCCGGUGCUGGAAGGUUAAUUGAUGGUGUCAUCGAAAGAGAAGCACCUGAUCGAAGCCCCAGUAAACGGCGGCCGUAACUAUAACGGUCCUAAGGUAGCGAAAUUCCUUGUCGGGUAAGUUCCGACCUGCACGAAUGGCAUAAUGAUGGCCAGGCUGUCUCCACCCGAGACUCAGUGAAAUUGAAAUCGCCGUGAAGAUGCGGUGUACCCGCGGCUAGACGGAAAGACCCCGUGAACCUUUACUAUAGCUUGACACUGAACAUUGAAUUUUGAUGUGUAGGAUAGGUGGGAGCCUUUGAAGCAGUGACGCCAGUCAUUGUGGAGGCGACCUUGAAAUACCACCCUUUAACGUUUGAUGUUCUAACGAAGAUGACGAAACGUGGUCUCGGACAGUGUCUGGUGGGUAGUUUGACUGGGGCGGUCUCCUCCCAAAGCGUAACGGAGGAGCACGAAGGUUUGCUAAUCACGGUCGGACAUCGUGAGGUUAGUGCAAUGGUAUAAGCAAGCUUAACUGCGAGACAGACAAGUCGAGCAGGUACGAAAGUAGGUCAUAGUGAUCCGGUGGUUCUGAAUGGAAGGGCCAUCGCUCAACGGAUAAAAGGUACUCCGGGGAUAACAGGCUGAUACCGCCCAAGAGUUCAUAUCGACGGCGGUGUUUGGCACCUCGAUGUCGGCUCAUCACAUCCUGGGGCUGAAGUAGGUCCCAAGGGUAUGGCUGUUCGCCAUUUAAAGUGGUACGCGAGCUGGGUUUAGAACGUCGUGAGACAGUUCGGUCCCUAUCUGCCGUGGGCGUAGGAUGAUUGAUUGGGGCUGCUCCUAGUACGAGAGGACCGGAGUGGACGCAUCACUGGUGUUCCGGUUGUGUCGCCAGACGCAUUGCCGGGUAGCUAAAUGCGGAAGAGAUAAGUGCUGAAAGCAUCUAAGCACGAAACUUGCCAAGAGAUGAGUCAUCCCUGACUUUAAGUCAGUAAGGGUUGUUGUAGACUACGACGUAGAUAGGUUGGGUGUGUAAGUGAUGUGAGUCAUUGAGCUAACCAAUACUAAUUGCCCGAGAGGCUUAACU
This 2897-nucleotide ribosomal RNA is filed under the name Haemophilus influenzae Rd KW20. RNAcentral's name for it is "bacterial LSU rRNA". It matches the Rfam family "Bacterial large subunit ribosomal RNA". Lineage: Bacteria; Pseudomonadati; Pseudomonadota; Gammaproteobacteria; Pasteurellales; Pasteurellaceae. The record is from RNAcentral.